RNAcentral lists this ribosomal RNA (465 nucleotides) under Vreelandella stevensii. RNAcentral describes it as "partial 16S ribosomal RNA". It matches the Rfam family "Bacterial small subunit ribosomal RNA", at positions 338 to 795 of the family's 1533-position model. The record is from RNAcentral. Lineage: Bacteria; Pseudomonadati; Pseudomonadota; Gammaproteobacteria; Oceanospirillales; Halomonadaceae.
CCUACGGGUGGCAGCAGUGGGGAAUAUUGGACAAUGGGGGGAACCCUGAUCCAGCCAUGCCGCGUGUGUGAAGAAGGCCCUCGGGUUGUAAAGCACUUUCAGUGAGGAAGAACGCCUGGUGGUUAAUACCCAUCAGGAAAGACAUCACUCACAGAAGAAGCACCGGCUAACUCCGUGCCAGCAGCCGCGGUAAUACGGAGGGUGCAAGCGUUAAUCGGAAUUACUGGGCGUAAAGCGCGCGUAGGUGGCUUGAUAAGCCGGUUGUGAAAGCCCCGGGCUCAACCUGGGAACGGCAUCCGGAACUGUCAAGCUAGAGUGCAGGAGAGGAAGGUAGAAUUCCCGGUGUAGCGGUGAAAUGCGUAGAGAUCGGGAGGAAUACCAGUGGCGAAGGCGGCCUUCUGGACUGACACUGACACUGAGGUGCGAAAGCGUGGGUAGCAAACAGGAUUAGAUACCCUGGUAGUC